RNAcentral lists this long non-coding RNA (356 nucleotides) under Nicotiana benthamiana. RNAcentral's name for it is "long non-coding RNA (NBEN_LNC029411)". The record is from RNAcentral. Lineage: Eukaryota; Viridiplantae; Streptophyta; Magnoliopsida; Solanales; Solanaceae.
UGCAUAGGAAUUUGGUUCAGUUGUUGUGGAAAAUGUGGAUAGAUAGGCUUGGUAUUUUGUGAGAUGUUUUCAUAAGAUAGGUAGUUUGAUAUAGGAUAGUUAACAUCUUGAUGCACAAUUAAUGAGACAAAAUCUUUCAACCAUAUUGGAGGAUGUUUUUCUCUGUUGGAUCUUUGAUAUUUUGUUGUAGGUUCUGUGAUUGUUUUCUGAAGUUGUUGAUUGAUUUUGUGGAUAAGUUGUUGAUAUAAAAUAUGUGAUAUCUUGAGGGUUAGUGAUAGGAUUUUCCCUUGUAAUGUUAUCUAUGUAGCCUGCUUCAUAGUCUUCAUUGACUGCAGUCGUAGGUUGAUAGAAGUCUU